CUUCAAAAAAUUAAAGCUUUCAUGAUGAAAUGACCCGUUAAUCUAUGUGUACCAAGGUUGAAGCUAUGGUAACGUGGUAACCGUGAAUUUCCCGAUUGCCAGUAAUUCCAUGCUGAGAUGUUGCAUCUGCAUAGCUAUGCGAUAUGAACUUAUAAAUAUGUAGAUACUUCUUAAUUCGACAUAAAAUCCGAUGUCUUAUGUGACCAUGUACUAAAACAUGAAACUUCAAUUAAGUACCUGGGGUGCACCAUCACAAACCAACUAGACAGGGGAGAACACAUCAACACCAUUACCAGCAAAGCAAGCAGAAGCCUUGGUUUCAUCCAUAGAAAACUACACAUCGGCUCUGAAAGCACUAAAGAGCAAGCAUACAAAACUCUAAUAAGGCCACAACAUUAUGUGACCCAUAUCAUUAAAAACAUAGUGAACAAAUUGAAAAAAUCAAAGAAGGGCUGCGCGAUACGUCACCAUGCGCUACAGAAACAGAUCAAGUGUCACAGAUGAGAUUAAUGA
This 513-nucleotide long non-coding RNA is filed under the name Mytilus galloprovincialis (Mediterranean mussel). The record is from RNAcentral. Lineage: Eukaryota; Metazoa; Mollusca; Bivalvia; Mytilida; Mytilidae.